RNA transcript from Anopheles arabiensis, 1761 nucleotides. RefSeq lists it as uncharacterized. The transcript is spliced from 3 exons. NCBI's taxonomy places the organism in Eukaryota, Metazoa, Arthropoda, Insecta, Diptera, Culicidae. The record is from RefSeq and is a predicted model, not a curated record.
CCAACUCGUCACUCCGCCUACCGGUGUAUGUGUGACGAACGAUGUGAUCACAACAAACGCACCACUGACGUCGGCUGUCUCUGUAUCUCGGUCAAGGUUUAUAGAGAGUGAGUCCACAUUGCUGGCCAACCAUAUUCCCACGGCUAAUCCCAUGCACGGCAAAACUGUGCGUGUCAUCGUGAUAAGAUAGGAAUGAUGAGGGCACACCUGUUUCCAGUGGAAAAAAGGCAUCCAACCGCCUCUCGAGUGAGGAUUAUAUUUUGUGCAACAAAGCAGAAGAAGACGGCGAAGCCUUCAAGAGAUGAGUCGCUCGAGUGCAUCACUUAAUCGUGCAAAUGCCGAUAACCUUUCCCGCAUGUGCCUCAUCGAACAGGCAGUCCACGAGGAAUUGGCCGAGAUCGAGCUUGGAGAUGGACCGCGAAUGGCCGGGCGCUUUGUCGUAGGCGGUGGCAAACUCGGCCUGAGGUUCGUCGGCAAUGUGCGGUGGCAGCACGGCCCGGUACUCCAACCCGCAGCCCUUCACCGUCUCCAGCAUGCGGCGGUGCUCCCCGUUAAUGUUGACAAAGAUGGCCGGCACCUUGUCCGGGUCCAUGAACAGGAACGACGACAGACAGACGGAAAACUUCUUCAGCGAAGCUUCCUUCAUAGCGGUGAUGAUGUUCGACAUGCCGUCCGACAUUGCCGUGGUUGGUUUGAGAUCGUUGCGCGUGCCCAGCACCACACAGACCAACUCCUGACCGGCGACCGCUUUCUUCACGUCCUCCACGUUCGUUACAUCACCCUGUACCAGCUCGACCUUUGCUUUGAAAUCUUCCGGAACGGUCGCCUCGUUGCGCACCAGUAAACGAACGGACAGCCCUACAAUGAAACCAAUUGAAGAUGCAAAUUAGCUUCGAUUCUGCAGCUCCCCCCUGGCCUUCCAACUCAGCCGCUUCUUACCCUUUUUCAGUGCGUACCGAACCGCACAUUGGCCGGACAUGCCGGUGCCGCCGAAAAAGACAAUCUUCUGCAUCUUUUGUACAACAGUAGAACCGAGAGGGGAGACUAGAGCAAUCGUAUCCAAAAUUACAAUCACGCCUGUAGUACUUCGCGGUGUCGAGACUGAAGAAAUAUUGCUUUUUAUUAUCAGCCGGAUAACGAGGGGGCAGUAGAAUGCGAAUGCAAACAAGGCUCUAGCGGCAGGUCGACUCAUCGAAGAACGCGUUCAUGGCACUGACUUGACAUUUGAGCGUUUGGUUCCCAAAGCACCUGUCAAAACGGUUUGCAACCGGCAUUUUACUAUUUCCGAGUAUCUGCUCAGACCGUUUGGUAGUGAAAGUACAGUCGAAAUUGCACCGAGCAACAUGUCGGAGUUGGAACAAUUGGAAGAGGCCUACUCACAGCUGGUUGAGUUUGUGAAGGAACUGGAAAAUGAACCUGAUGACGAUGCACCUGCGGCAACCGAACCAUCCAACGGCGAGCCGAUCCCUUCCAAGGCCGUGGAAGUGGUAAUGCAGGCAACUAACAAGGUCGUGAAGUCAUUGUGUAUGUUUCACGAGUUUGAAAUGGUGCUUCAAGAUAAAAUAGCUUCCUUGCAUGUCAUCUCGAACGAGCUGAUGCUUACCGGCUUGCAUCUGCAGGAGCUGAACAAUGAGAUAGCGGAAACACGCAAAAAGGCCAACAAAGACAACUACGACAAGUUGUUCCAGAGCUGCGAACCGUUCGUAGCUUCGAUAGAGGAGCUUGAAACCGUUGCUGAAUAAAGAUGAAUUUAGUGUUGUA